CUCCCUCGUUGCUGAUCUCAGGUUCGAUAAUGCCAAUAUCGCACCACCUCGCCUGGAACCAACUUCGAUGAAGCGACGGGCGGUGUGUG
Molecule: ribosomal RNA, 89 nt
Filed under: uncultured archaeon
Lineage: Archaea
Description: partial 16S ribosomal RNA
Source: RNAcentral